GAUGAAGAACGUAGCGAAAUGCGAUAACUAAUGUGAAUUGCAGAAUUCAGUGAAUCAUCGAGUCUUUGAACGCACAUUGCGCCCCCUGGUAUUCCGGGGGGCAUGCCUGUCCGAGCGUCAUUGCUGCCCUCAAGCACGGCUUGUGUGUUGGGCUCCGUCCCCCCGGGGACGGGCCCGAAAGGCAGCGGCGGCACCGAGUCCGGUCCUCGAGCGUAUGGGGCUUUGUCACCCGCUCUUGUAGGCCCGGCCGGCGCUUGCCGACACAUCAAUCUUUUUUCCAGGUUGACCUCGGAUCAGGUAGGGAUACCCGCUGAACUUAAGCAUAUCAAUAAGCGGAGGA
RNAcentral lists this unclassified non-coding RNA (340 nucleotides) under soil metagenome. RNAcentral's name for it is "partial contains 5.8S ribosomal RNA, internal transcribed spacer 2, and large subunit ribosomal RNA". The stretch from base 1 to 120 matches the Rfam family "5.8S ribosomal RNA", at positions 35 to 154 of the family's 154-position model. The record is from RNAcentral.